Molecule: long non-coding RNA, 534 nt
Filed under: Homo sapiens (human)
Lineage: Eukaryota; Metazoa; Chordata; Mammalia; Primates; Hominidae
Description: HSALNT0287597
Source: RNAcentral
CGGGGCUGCUGUGGGAGAGUUCUGUUGCUGCGGCGGGGCCUGCACGUUGACUGUGGGAAACUCGGAAACAAGCUCACAUCUUCCUGUGGGAAACCUUCUAGCAACAGGAUGAGUCUGCAGUGGACUGCAGUUGCCACCUUCCUCUAUGCGGAGGUCUUUGUUGUGUUGCUUCUCUGCAUUCCCUUCAUUUCUCCUAAAAGGUAUGGCCUAUGGAGCAAGCAGGCGAGUUAGGCAGGAGGGUGCCUGUGCCCUAGCCCUGGGACUGGUGUGUGCAGCUGGUGGACCCUGGAAUUGGGACCCGAUGGAACAGAUGGCAGAAGAUUUUCAAGUCCCGGCUGGUGGAGUUGUUAGUGUCCUAUGGCAACACCUUCUUUGUGGUUCUCAUUGUCAUCCUUGUGCUGUUGGUCAUCGAUGCCGUGCGCGAAAUUCGGAAGUAUGAUGAUGUGACGGAAAAGGUGAACCUCCAGAACAAUCCCGGGGCCAUGGAGCACUUCCACAUGAAGCUUUUCCGUGCCCAGAGGAAUCUCUACAUUG